This 1228-nucleotide long non-coding RNA is filed under the name Brassica napus (rape). Its description in RNAcentral is "long non-coding RNA (BNAP_LNC025117)". Lineage: Eukaryota; Viridiplantae; Streptophyta; Magnoliopsida; Brassicales; Brassicaceae. The record is from RNAcentral.
CUGCAGUUAUACUUGAGGAACUGCUCAAGUGUCAGAGAUUGGAAACGAAGCAAAGCAUCAUCGACUCUACAAACAAGUUGAAAUGCUGGAAAUGAAUCAACAGCAUUUCAACCUGUUUGAAAACUAGCUUUGUCUUUAGCUGUUUUAAAAAAGGAUUAUUUCGUGUUUUGACAUGUUUAUACGUGCUGUUUGAAAUUUUUUUAAGCUUACUGAAGAUUAUAGGUUGAGCUUGACCCGGUAAUGCUUGACGUUGGCAAGGAUUACUUUGGUUUCACACAAACUGAUCGCUUGAAGGUAAACCCCUUCUUUUUUAAUACAAAGUUCCUAUCCUUUUUUAUGUUUAUAUUCAAUUUAUCAUCACUCAGCCUUUUAUAAUAGGUGCAUAUUGCUGAUGGAAUCAAAUACAUUAGAGACGUAACAAACUCUGAAUCUUCUUCCGAGAAAGCGUCGGACGCUGUCUCUAAAACAGAGUCGACUAGUUCCAACAAUGCGGAAGGCAGCACUUGUCCUGACAUCUUGAUUAUAGAUGUUGAUUCAGCAGAUUCAAGGUAUGCACUAGGCCAACUACUAUUUACAUUUCUAUGACUUCUUGCAUUGAUCUUACCGUUUUUUCAUGUUUGCUUUCUGUCUGUAGCGGUGGAUUAACCUGUCCUGCAUCUGAGUUUAUUGAAGAGACAUUUCUUCUUUCAGUUAAGCGUGCUCUCCCUCAGCAUGGUCUUUUUGUAGUGAACUUAGUCUCAAGGUCACAAUCCGUCAAAGAUAUGGUUGCAUCAAGAAUGAAAAAGGUAAAAACCAAGUGUGAUUCGAUCCUUGUGAAUCUGCUGCUACACUAGUAGUUGGUUUUGAGUCGGAAUUUGUAACUGGUGUCUUUUGUUUUGCUGUGUUUACAAGGUUUUCGAUCGCUUGUUCAGCCUGCAACUAGAAGAGGAAGAUGAUGUAAACGUGGUGCUGUUUGGGCUCUGCUCAGAAUCUGUAAUCGGUGAGAGCGAUAUUCCAGAGUCUGCAGUUAUACUUGAGGAACUGCUCAAGUGUCAGAGAUUGGAAACGAAGCAAAGCAUCAUCGACUCUACAAACAAGUUGAAAUGCUGGAAAUGAAUCAACAGCAUUUCAACCUGUUUGAAAACUAGCUUUGUCUUUAGCUGUUUUAAAAAAGGAUUAUUUCGUGUUUUGACAUGUUUAUACGUGCUGUUUGAAAUUUUUUUAAGCUUACUGAAGAUUAUACUUAUGU